CAAAGCACCCAGGAGAAGAGGAUCUUUCCCGAUUUCCCUUCAUCUGCCCAAGACAGGCAGCUGCUUUCCCAGUAUCCAGUGAGCUCCAGCUUCCGGGAAAUCCUGGUCCCAGGAAGAGUCCAGGCAGGGAGGGAUGCACCUGGAUUACAACAGAAGCAGAGGUUGUUGAAGAUUGCUGUCCAUGGGAGACACCCUGCCCCAGCCCAGGAACAGAGAUGCAGUCUGCAAGGAUGCUGCACAGUCCCCAGUUCUGGCCUGGGGAUUGCUGUGCUCACAGUGGAGAAGAGAGGUGCAAACAGCUUGAACAGCAUUUAAUGCCACUAUUUGAAUGGGCACGCGAUCACCCUUCAGUGAACUUCUCAAGUACACUACACCCCAGAAGGAUGGGAGAAACAAUGCCCAUCCACCCUCGUACCCUUUUAAUUAUGUUUUUAAGCAGCUUUUAAGUAGAGCAUGCAGAAAAGAACAAAAUGAAAAUAUGCACUUCAUGGGGAAAAAAGUGAGACCCAAGAUCUGUCAUUAAAGUACAAGAGCCCAAUGAUGAAUAUAACUUUACUGUAUACUUAAAAGGCGC
RNAcentral lists this long non-coding RNA (574 nucleotides) under Fukomys damarensis (Damara mole-rat). Its description in RNAcentral is "lncRNA (ENSFDAG00000028790.1)". The record is from RNAcentral. Lineage: Eukaryota; Metazoa; Chordata; Mammalia; Rodentia; Bathyergidae.